AGAGUUAGGGUCUUCUCAGGCCCGACCUCCCAACCCUUUGUUUAUCACACCCUUGUUGCUUCGGCGGGCCCGCCUUCACAGGCCGCCGGAGGACCGUCUCUCGGUCCUCUGGCCCGCGCCCGCCGGUAGCCAAACCUAUCAAACUCUUGCAUAAAAGCGUGUCUAUAAUGUCUGAAUACUAUAUUAAAUAAAAGCAAAACUUUCAACAACGGAUCUCUUGGUUCUGGCAUCGA
This 233-nucleotide unclassified non-coding RNA is filed under the name Exophiala heteromorpha. Its description in RNAcentral is "sequence contains ITS1". Lineage: Eukaryota; Fungi; Ascomycota; Eurotiomycetes; Chaetothyriales; Herpotrichiellaceae. The record is from RNAcentral.